RNAcentral lists this long non-coding RNA (426 nucleotides) under Homo sapiens (human). Its description in RNAcentral is "HSALNT0052952". The record is from RNAcentral. Lineage: Eukaryota; Metazoa; Chordata; Mammalia; Primates; Hominidae.
CUAAUUUUUUUAUAUUUAUUUUGUAUGGUGUGAGGUUUAGGUCAAGAUUUUUUAAGAUUCUUUAUUUUUUCUUCUCUUUCUUUCUUCUUUUUUUUUUUUUUUUUUUUUUUGGCCUAUGGAUAUCCCAACUAUUUUUUUAAAAGAUGGUUUUUCUCCAUUGAAUUUUAUUUGUACCUUUGUCAAAAAUCAGUUGGUAGUUGGUUUUACUUAUGUGAAGCUAUUCCUGGGUUCUGGGUUAUACUUUAAUCCUUAAUAACUUUAGAGAAAAUAAUUAUCUUGUCGUGGCCUUCAAUGUAUAUCUAAGGCCUAUCUGAUUGCCCUGUCACAUGUCCCUUGAUUUUCUUAUUUUUCUUCUUCCUUUCUUCCCCUGCCCCUAUAUCCUCAUAGAAUUAUCUAUGUGGGUUAACCAUCAGUUUAUCAGUUUAU